This 497-nucleotide ribosomal RNA is filed under the name uncultured bacterium. Its description in RNAcentral is "partial 16S ribosomal RNA". It matches the Rfam family "Bacterial small subunit ribosomal RNA", at positions 28 to 507 of the family's 1533-position model. The record is from RNAcentral.
GAUGAACGCUGGCGGCGUGCCUAAUACAUGCAAGUCGAGCGAACGGACGAGAAGCUUGCUUCUCUGAUGUUAGCGGCGGACGGGUGAGUAACACGUGGAUAACCUACCUAUAAGACUGGGAUAACUUCGGGAAACCGGAGCUAAUACCGGAUAAUAUUUUGAACCGCGGGGUUCAAAAGUGAAAGACGGUCUUGCUGUCACUUAUAGAUGGAUCCGCGCUGCAUUAGCUAGUUGGUAAGGUAACGGCUUACCAAGGCAACGAUGCAUAGCCGACCUGAGAGGGUGAUCGGCCACACUGGAACUGAGACACGGUCCAGACUUCUACGGGAGGCAGCAGUAGGGAAUCUUCCGCAAUGGGCGAAAGCCUGACGGAGCAACGCCGCGUGAGUGAUGAAGGUCUUCGGAUCGUAAAACUCUGUUAUUAGGGAAGAACAUAUGUGUAAGUAACUGUGCACAUCUUGACGGUACCUAAUCAGAAAGCCACGGCUAACUACGUG